ACGCUCGACACCUACGGGAGACAGCAGUGAGGGAUAUUGGUCAAUGGGGGGAACCCUGAACCAGCAACGCCGCGUGAGGGAUGACGGUCUUCGGAUUGUAAACCUCUGUCCUCUGUGAAGAUAAUGACGGUAGCAGAGGAGGAAGCUCCGGCUAACUACGUGCCACAGCCGCGGUAAUCUGAGCGGGCUGGCAAGGC
This 197-nucleotide ribosomal RNA is filed under the name uncultured bacterium. Its description in RNAcentral is "partial 16S ribosomal RNA". It matches the Rfam family "Bacterial small subunit ribosomal RNA", at positions 328 to 539 of the family's 1533-position model. The record is from RNAcentral.